CGUUCAGGGGUAAACCUGCGAAACUCGAAUGAACGAACGGAGAGAUUCAUCGUCAUUCCGCCGGAGCUGCGGCGGCGUACCGAUGCGGCGGUAGGCGUGCGUUCGCGCGCGUUCCUCCGUCGCACGGUCGCCGCCCGCACGCGUCCGCGGACGGCGUGCACUUCUCUCUCAGUAAGACAUCGCGACCCGUUCGACGUCGGCCUAAGCGCCGCCCGGGAGCCCGGUUGCAGCCUCGGCUGCCUCCGGACCGCGGCGGCCGCCGGCCGGCCGUCGGACGGUAAAUAUCGAGAAACGCGCACGCGCUCAGCGCGUCCGGCCCGACGCAAGGCGUCGUCGUAUCCGAAGUCCUGCCCAAGCGCGGUCUUCGGUGCGGCGCGCCUGCCUAUCGCAGCCGUGCAGUCUCGGACCGUGCGCGUCUCGGUCGGCGAUGAUUAUGUUUCGGGCACCCGCAGGACCCGUCUUGAAACACGGACCAAGGAGUCUAGCAUGUGUGCGAGUCAUUGAGAUUUA
Molecule: ribosomal RNA, 510 nt
Filed under: Antispila sp. Ampelopsis.brevTaiwan
Lineage: Eukaryota; Metazoa; Arthropoda; Insecta; Lepidoptera; Heliozelidae
Description: eukaryotic LSU rRNA
Source: RNAcentral